UAGGGAAUCUUCGGCAAUGGACGAAAGUCUGACCGAGCAACGCCGCGUGAGUGAAGAAGGUUUUCGGAUCGUAAAACUCUGUUGUUAGAGAAGAACAAGGACGUUAGUAACUGAACGUCCCCUGACGGUAUCUAACCAGAAAGCCACGGCUAACUACGUGCCAGCAGCCGCGGUAAUACGUAGGUGGCAAGCGUUGUCCGGAUUUAUUGGGCGUAAAGCGAGCGCAGGCGGUUUCUUAAGUCUGAUGUGAAAGCCCCCGGCUCAACCGGGGAGGGUCAUUGGAAACUGGGAGACUUGAGUGCAGAAGAGGAGAAUGGAAUUCCAUGUGUAGCGGUGAAAUGCGUAGAUAUAUGGAGGAACACCAGUGGCGAAGGCGGCUCUCUGGUCUGUAACUAACGCUGAGGCUCGAAAGCGUGGGGAGCAAACAGG
Molecule: ribosomal RNA, 429 nt
Filed under: Gemmatimonadota bacterium
Lineage: Bacteria; Pseudomonadati; Gemmatimonadota
Description: Gemmatimonadetes bacterium partial 16S ribosomal RNA
Rfam family: Bacterial small subunit ribosomal RNA
Source: RNAcentral